RNAcentral lists this non-coding RNA (26 nucleotides) under Homo sapiens (human). The record is from RNAcentral. Lineage: Eukaryota; Metazoa; Chordata; Mammalia; Primates; Hominidae.
UAUGCAAACUGUGCAGUGCUGAUGGA